This 253-nucleotide ribosomal RNA is filed under the name uncultured bacterium. Its description in RNAcentral is "partial 16S ribosomal RNA". It matches the Rfam family "Bacterial small subunit ribosomal RNA", at positions 524 to 776 of the family's 1533-position model. The record is from RNAcentral.
UACGGGGGGGGCAAGCGUUGUUCGGAAUUACUGGGCGUAAAGGGCUCGUAGGCGGCCAACUAAGUCAGACGUGAAAUCCCUCGGCUUAACCGGGGAACUGCGUCUGAUACUGGAUGGCUUGAGUUUGGGAGAGGGAUGCGGAAUUCCAGGUGUAGCGGUGAAAUGCGUAGAUAUCAAGAGGAACACCUGCGGCGAAGGCGGGUUGCUGGGCCGACACUGACGCUGAUGCGCGAAAGCUAGGGGAGCGAACGGG